UAGAGUUUGAUCCUGGCUCAGGAUGAACGCUGGCGGCGUGCCUAAUACACGCAAGUCGAGCGAAUGGAUUAAGAGCUUGCUCUUAUGAAGUUAGCGGCGGACGGGUGAGUAACACGUGGGUAACCUGCCCAUAAGACUGGGAUAACUCCGGGAAACCGGGGCUAAUACCGGAUAACAUUUUGAACCGCAUGGUUCGAAAUUGAAGGCGGCUUCGGCUGUCACUUAUGGAUGGACCCGCGUCGCAUUAGCUAGUUGGUGAGGUAACGGCUCACCAAGGCAACGAUGCGUAGCCGACCUGAGAGGGUGAUCGGCCACACUGGGACUGAGACACGGCCCAGACUCCUACGGGAGGCAGCAGUAGGGAAUCUUCCGCAAUGGACGAAAGUCUGACGGAGCAACGCCGCGUGAGUGAUGAAGGCUUUCGGGUCGUAAAACUCUGUUGUUAGGGAGACAAGUGCUAGUUGAAUAAGCUGGCACCUUGACGGUACCUAACCAGAAAGCCACGGCUAACUACG
RNAcentral lists this ribosomal RNA (515 nucleotides) under uncultured Bacillus sp. Its description in RNAcentral is "bacterial SSU rRNA". It matches the Rfam family "Bacterial small subunit ribosomal RNA", at positions 1 to 505 of the family's 1533-position model. The record is from RNAcentral. Lineage: Bacteria; Bacillati; Bacillota; Bacilli; Caryophanales; Bacillaceae.